Molecule: non-coding RNA, 211 nt
Organism: Ectocarpus siliculosus
Lineage: Eukaryota; Phaeophyceae; Ectocarpales; Ectocarpaceae
Source: Rfam
CCGAAACUGGGCCGGAACCAAGCGGCAUCCAACAUUGGUCUCAGCCGUGCUCGCCGCGACUGACCCCAAUCUCCUGAACUGCGGGUGUAGAGCAGUAGCUGAUGCCACUAGCUACUGCUGGCACUCCGUCCGUUCAGGGGCUUACGGUCCGUGGCGGUGAGUAUGGCUGUGAAAAAUAUUGGAUGCCGCUUGGUUCCGGCGUAGAUCUCGG